Molecule: unclassified non-coding RNA, 1390 nt
Filed under: Hevea brasiliensis (rubber tree)
Lineage: Eukaryota; Viridiplantae; Streptophyta; Magnoliopsida; Malpighiales; Euphorbiaceae
Source: RNAcentral
UACGUGCCAGAAACCUCGAAAAUGCUUAUUAUAUGGGCUUAUGCGAGCUUGCCAGUUAGGGAGAGGUGACCUAGGGGGACCUAGGUGCCGCACGGGGCUAGAACUCCCGUCCCGUGACAAUGUGGUAUCAGAGCAGGCCCCAGACGAUCCGAAUCACGCCAAGCGCCCCAACGGGAUAGGGGUAGGCAGGGUGCCGAUGGCGACAAGGGUGUUGCUAGAAUCGGGUGGGAGAGAAUGUCAGGCCUCAACGGGACUGAGGUAGACAAGGGUUUUCUCAAUCCCACGUCGGACAAGAAAGGGGUCGAUCCGAGGGACAAGUGCGGCCUAUCAUGCAGCAGCUGGUAUGCAGUGUCUGGCGAGCAACGUGAUGAAUCUUGGCAAAGGCAUUUUAGAGGAUGUCUGCGUGCGGAAGUGGGUGAGUGCACUGGCAAACUGGUGGCCAAUAUGCUGCUCAAGUGUUUGCGUUGGGCGAGCGCAACAAUUGGUGUGUGGGCUCCUUUGUGUGAGGGAGUGUGACAAGUUGCAUGAGGAAGCGAUGUGAACGCAUGCAAACGAGGGUGUUUGCGGGAUUAGAUGGGGGAGAAUGUAACGGUUCGGCAGUUCUCCACUCAUAUUCUUGGCAAUCGGCAAGGUCGUUACAAGCUAACUCUUGCCCUAUGGAGCUAACAAUAGUAAAUCUGUACAGGUACGUGCGGGAAAUCUCGAAGAUGCUUAAUACUUAAGCCUAAGUGAGCUUGCCAGAUAGGGGAAAGGCUAGCUAGAGGCCCUGGCCAAGGGGGAUCUAGGCGUUGCACGAGGCUAUAACUCCCAUCCCAUGACAAAGUGGUAUCAGAGCCUGCUGAAAGGGAAUUGAGUGGGUGUUCAUUGCAUUGUUGUCGCAAUUAUGAUUAGGUCAGUGCUGGUUAGUUCCGAGAUGGUUAGGAUUGCGGAAUUAGAAGAAAGAUUUAGGGUUUGCAAGAGAAUGUGGAUGGAAAAUUUAAUGCAAUGGAGGAAAGAUUCAAUGGUAUAGAGGGGAAAUUAGAUCAGGCUUCUGCUGAUAAUGAUGCACUAAGGCAAGACAUGAGAGCCUUCAUGAGUAUAAUGGUAAAGGAAAAAGGGACAGAAGCUCCAAUUGAAGAAAAUGGAAUCCGAGGAACCGAGAGUAGCGGUCUGUUGCCAAUUCCAAAGGAUCUGCCUAGCCCACAAAUAAAGGAUCAAGGCAGUAUUGGGAAUAUUGCAACUAUUGAAGGCAGUGUUAUUAAAGGCCUGGGAGGCGCCCAAGUGAGGCGAGAGGCGAGGCGAGGUGCCCCUAUACUGCCUCAACUGAGUCACCCCUCUUAGCACCUCCAGAGUCGACACCUCAAGCCAGCGAGGCGAGAAACCAGGUGGGCGAGAGGCGUCGCCUCUUUAA